UGACAGCCUCUGUCUACUUUGUGGGACAGGA
This 31-nucleotide non-coding RNA is filed under the name Mus musculus (house mouse). The record is from RNAcentral. Lineage: Eukaryota; Metazoa; Chordata; Mammalia; Rodentia; Muridae.